ACGGUGGUAACGUACUUCUUUGCAUCGCCAUACGGAAUAUUGUAAACUAUGGAAUGUAAAGAAGUAUGUAACCCCUGA
This is a non-coding RNA of Onchocerca ochengi, 78 nucleotides long. NCBI's taxonomy places the organism in Eukaryota, Metazoa, Nematoda, Chromadorea, Rhabditida, Onchocercidae. The record is from Rfam.